UUCGGUAUUGCUUUUUGGUUGUUUUUUAUUUUUACGUUUUUUUAUCUUCGAUUCUGUAUAAUUUUCUUCAAUAUUUUUUUCUUGCUUUGAUAGAGCUGAUUCCGUAUUUAUUUUUGUUUCUUUAUCUGAUUCAAACUCUUCUUGACCUGCUGAUUCGUUUUCUUCUUUAUUUAGAUUAAAAAACCGAAGGAAUUUUUUUUUCGUUUGAUGGUAUAAAACCUUUUUUCUUUAGGGUGAUCUGUUUAUUCACAUUUUUUGUUUCAUUAAAAUUGAAAAGAAGUAAUUUAAUUGGUAUGACCCACGGUUUCAUUUUAGUGAAUAACUAAAGAAAUUUUUUUUUUUGCAAACUUUACCUAUGAUAAUCCAAAACUCACCAUUACAAUGGGUGUAUGAUUCCAUUCUUGAAUGCAUUCGGACUUGCUCAACUCUUAAAGGUUUAAUAAUUGGGGAUGAACUAGGAACAUUCAUGGAAAGUCUGGUGACAAUGAAAUCAUGCAAUGUCAUUUUCUCAAACUGUGACUUGCAUGCAUUUUUGACUAUGAAUUAAUUUGCUAACUUGAAGGGUUCAAUUUUUGGUCAGAUAUGCAACAACAUAGCAACACAUAUAUCUCAUAUGGAGGUGAGUAUAUUUUAUAUAUUUUGUCAUACUUAACCAAAAUCAGUUGAUUCUUAUUGUUUCCAUUUUGUGUUGUAGAUGGGAAAAAUGGGCCAAAGAAACAUUCAAGAUCGUUGGGAAAACAGUGCUUUGAAUCUUUUUGGGAGGAUCAAGAUCGUUGGGAAAACAAUUUUUUGGAUCUUUUUGGAAGGACUGACUCUAAGAUUUAUAAAGAGGUACUUGAUUAGUUUCGUUGUUACUACAACUUCGGCAUUGGCCAUGCAGUGCGGAACGACAACAUUGUGGAAAAAGUCCUAUAAGAUCUCCAUGUGACAACCUAUGAUAAUUGUCUUACUUGGCAUACUUGGAAUUGUCGUCUAGCUACUGGAAUUCCACAUACUAUCAAGGUUAGUGAUUGAUUUGACUUUACAUAUUCUAUUAUUUGCUUUCAAUUAUUUGUUGAUACAAACUUGUCUCUUUUCCUUAAGUUGUUAGGUUACAGAUUUGAAAAAAAAAACUAGAAGAGUUUGUGGGUUUCAAGGCUCUGAUUCGGGUUUUAGAACAUGGUUUAAGAAUAAUACUCCAUAAUUUGGUUUAGCUACUUAUUAGAUCAUGGAAGCUAAAGCUUUCUGUUAGUAUAAACCAAAUCCCAAAGCUUAAGGUGAGAGACUGAUUUAUCUUCAGUAGGGUUUACUUUUGUAAUGUUUGUCAAACAUUUUUGCUUGCUAUCAGUUUUUCUGGAUAAAUUAAGUUUUUUUUAUUACAAACAAAGAGACUUGAACAGUUUAGAAGAAACACAUUAUCAGAUUGGGAUGGACCAGUAAAAAGAUAACUGUUAAAUUUGGUAAUUUGUAGACUCGUUAGAGUAAACUAUGAGUAGGAUUAUACAUUGAUGACAUAUGCAAGCAUUAUGGUGAAUUAGAAACGAUAAGUUAUGUAUUUAAUUAGCACUUGCCCAUUUACUCAAAAAUUAUGAAUUUGGGUCCAAUUUUUCAACACAUCAAAUCUGACCCAUGCUUUCAAAGGCUCAUCGAAUAGAUCUUUUGUUGGGUCAACGUUGAUAGCAUGAGCCUUGCAACUCUCUCCUCUUUGUUAUCUAUAAAAUUUUAUCCCCCACUUAAAAAACUCGAUAGCUAAUUCUUUGGCAAGCUCUAGCAGACCUUAGUUGUAGUUUUUUAAUUGAAGUUAGUAUUCUAUAAAUUGACAAAGUAUGUUAUUAUUUUGUUUUAAUGUUUUUCUUUGCAAACUUUACCUAUGAUAAUCCAAAACUCAUCAUUACAAUGGGUGUAUGAUUCCAUUCUUGAAUGCAUUCGGACUUGCUCAACUCUUAAAGGUUUAAUAAUUGGGGAUGAACUAGGAACAUUCAUGGAAAGUCUGGUGACAAUGAAAUCAUGCAAUGUCAUUU
RNAcentral lists this long non-coding RNA (2000 nucleotides) under Brassica rapa (field mustard). Its description in RNAcentral is "long non-coding RNA (BRAP_LNC002219)". Lineage: Eukaryota; Viridiplantae; Streptophyta; Magnoliopsida; Brassicales; Brassicaceae. The record is from RNAcentral.